RNAcentral lists this transfer RNA (73 nucleotides) under Stegodyphus mimosarum. It matches the Rfam family "tRNA". From Rfam's summary of the family: Transfer RNA (tRNA) molecules are approximately 80 nucleotides in length. Lineage: Eukaryota; Metazoa; Arthropoda; Arachnida; Araneae; Eresidae. The record is from Rfam by way of RNAcentral.
GCUUUCAUGGUGUAGUGAUCAGCACUCUGGGCGCGUAUUCCAGAGGUCCGUGGUUCGAAUCCCGGAGAGGGCA